Molecule: ribosomal RNA, 274 nt
Filed under: uncultured bacterium
Lineage: Bacteria
Description: partial 16S ribosomal RNA
Rfam family: Bacterial small subunit ribosomal RNA
Source: RNAcentral
AUACGGAGGGUGCAAGCGUUACUCGGAAUCACUGGGCGUAAAGCGCGCGCAGGCGGGCUGAUAAGCUGGAUGUGAAAGCCUACGGCUCAACCGUAGAACUGCAUCCAAAACUGUCAGUCUAGAGUCUGGGAGGGGAAGAUGGAAUUAGUUGUGUAGGGGUAAAAUCCGUAGAGAUAACUAGGAAUACCAAAAGCGAAGGCGAUCUUCUGGAACAGUACUGACGCUGAGGCGCGAAAGCGUGGGGAGCAAACAGGAUUAGAAACCCUAGUAGUCC